AUAAAUUCCGUCCAAGGCUAAAUACGGGUGAGAGACCGAUAACAAAAAUAUACUGUGAGGGAAAUAUGAAAAGGACUUUAAAAAGAGAGUAAAAGAGUGAUUGAAAUUGUCCAGAGGGAAGCGGAUGGGGGUCGGCGAUGCGCACCGGUUGGAUGUGGAAUGGCAACGAGUUGGUCUAUCGAUCGACUUGCGGCGUGGAUUGACGCGAUUCAGGGUGGUAGCCCAAGCUCGGGCUGUAGUCAUGCCUAUGGAGACGUCGUCGCUGCGUGCCUCCGGGCACCUGCACGCUCAGGGCAUCGGCCCGUGGGCCCCCCAUUUGGCCUGUCUUGAAACACGGACCAAGGAUUCUUGCAUGUGUGUGAGUCAACGGACCAGUAAACUCGUAAGACGCAAGGAAACUGAACUACGGGAUCCCCCUUCGCGAGGUACACCGUUGACCAACCUCGAUCUUAUGAGGAGGGUUCGAGUGAAAGCAUGCCUGUCAAGACCUGAAAUAUGGUGAACUAUGCCUAAGCAGGGCAAAGCCAAAGGAAACUCUGGUGGAGACCCGUAGCGAUAGUGAUGUGCAAAUCGUUCAUCUGACCUAGGUAUAGGGGCGAAAGACUAAUCGAACCAUCUAGUAGUUGGUUCCCUCCGAAGUUUCCCUCAAGGUAGUUGGAGCCCGCGGGCAAGUUUUAUAGGUAAAGCCAAUGAUUAGAGGCAUUGGGGGCACAACGCCCUCGACCUAUUCUCAAACUUUAAAUAGGUAGAACGACAUGACUGCUCCAUUAAGUCACGUCAUGGAAUCAAGAGCUCCAAGUGGGCCAUUUUUGGUAAGUAGAAUUGGCGAUGCGGGAUGAACUGGAAGUCGGGUUACGAUGCCCAACUGCACACUAACCUAACCUACAAAGGGUAUUGGUCGAUUAAGACAGUAGGACGAUGGUCAUGGAAGUCGAAAUCCGCUAAGGAGUGUGUAACAACUCACCUGCUGAAUCAACUAGCCUCGAAAAUGGAUGGUGUUGAAGCGUGCGACCUAUACCCGGCCAUCGAGGCAAGGGCCAGGCCGCAAUGAGUAGGAAGGUGCGGCAGUCGCCGCAAAACUUGGAACACGAGCCCAAGCGGAGCGGCCGUCGGUCCGGAUCUUGGUGGUAGUAGCAAAUAUUCAAAUGAGAACUUUGAAAGUCGAAGAGGGGAAAGUUUCCAUGUGGACGACACUUGCACAUGGGUUAGUCGAUCCUAAGAGAUGAGGAAAGCCCGUACGACAGUGCGCAACGUGUGAGCUUCGAAAGGGAAUCGGGUUAACAUUCCUGAACCGAGAUGUGAUAGUUGACGACAACGUUAAGGAGUCUGGAGACAUCGUUGAGGGCCUCAGGAAGAGUUAUAUUUUCUGUUAACAACCCGGCCAUCCUAGAAACGGCUUAGCCAAAUGUAAGGUGUCGCGUGGUGUCUAGUGCGCCCUCGGCGACCCUUGAAAAUUCAAAGGACCGAGUGCCGCCCACGCCCGGUUGUACUCAUAACCGCAUCAGGUCUCCAAGGUGAACAACCUCUGGUCAAUGGAACAAUGUAGGCAAGGAAAGUCGGAAAAAUGGAUUCAUAACCUCAAGAAAAAAGAGUGGUUUUAAGGGCUAGGUACGAGGGUCCCAAUCCCGAACCCGUCAGUUGUCGGUGGACUGCUCGAGCUGCUCUCGCGGCGAGAGCGGGUCACCGCGUGCCGGUUGUGGGACGAACUGGGAAUGGCUCCUUCGGGGGCUUUCCCUGAGUGUCGAACAGUCGACUCAGAAUUGGUACAAACAAGGGGAAUCUGAUUGUUUAAUUAAAACAAAGUAUUGCAAUGGUCCCUACAGAUGCUCACGCAAUGUGAUUUCUGCCCAGUGCUCUGAAUGUCAAAGUGAAGAAAUUCAACCAAGCACGAGUAAACGACGGGAGUAACUAUGACUCUCUUAAGGUAGCCAAAUGGCUUGUCAUCUAAUUAGGGAUGCGCAUGAAUGGAUUAACGAGAUUCCCACUGUCCCUAUCUACUAUCCAGUGAAACCACAGCCAAGGGAACGGGCUUGGCAGAAUCAACGAGGAAAGAAGACCCUGUUGAGCUGGACUCUAGUACGACUUUGUGAAAUGACUUGAGAGGUGUAGAAUAAGUGGGAGUCAGAAACGGUGAAAGUGAAAUACCACUACUUUUAACGUUAUUUUACUUAUUUUGUGAAUCAAAGGCAGGGAGCAUCCCCUCCUUUUGGACCUAAGGCACGCCCAACGUGCUAAUCCGAGCGGAAGACAUUGUUAGGUGGGGAGCUUGGCUGGAGUGACACAUCUAUUAAAAGAUAACACAAGUGUCCUAAGAUGAGCUCAACAAGAACAAAAAUCUCAUGUGGAACAAAAGAGUAAAAACUCGUUUGAUUCUGAUUUCCAAUACGAAUACGAACCGUGAAAGCGUGACCUAUCGAUCCUUUAGACCUUCGGAAUUUGAAGCUAGAGGUGUCAUAAAAGUUACCACAGGGAUAACUGGCUAGUGGCAGCCAAGCAUUCAUAGCGACGUUGCUUUUUUAUCCUUCGAUGUCGGCUCUUUCUAUCAUUGUGAAGUAGAAUUCACAAAGUGUUGGAUUGUUCACCCACCAAUAGGAAACGUGAGCUGGGUUUAGAUCGUCAUGAGAUAGGUUAGUUUUACCUUACUGAUGACAAUGUCGCAAUAUUAAUUCAACCUAGUAUGAGAGGAACCAUUGAUUCGCACAAUUGGUCAUUGAGCUUGGUUGAAAAGCCAAUGGCGCAAAGCUAUCGUGCGUUGGAUUAUGACUGAAUGCCUCUAAGUCAGAAUUCGGGCUAGAAGUGACGCGUACGCCCGCCACCCGAUUGGCGACCUUCAGUAGGGGAMAUCCGGCCCCUAGAGGCAAGUAUCCUUAGUCAAGCCCUAGUGGUGGACGAGCCGUAUGGGCCGCCUUGAAGUAUCAUUCCGAUUGAGUGGU
RNAcentral lists this ribosomal RNA (2933 nucleotides) under Vitis vinifera (wine grape). Its description in RNAcentral is "eukaryotic LSU rRNA". It matches the Rfam family "Eukaryotic large subunit ribosomal RNA", at positions 299 to 3292 of the family's 3401-position model. The record is from RNAcentral. Lineage: Eukaryota; Viridiplantae; Streptophyta; Magnoliopsida; Vitales; Vitaceae.